Non-coding RNA from Penaeus vannamei (Pacific white shrimp), 175 nucleotides. The record is from RefSeq and is a predicted model, not a curated record. NCBI's taxonomy places the organism in Eukaryota, Metazoa, Arthropoda, Malacostraca, Decapoda, Penaeidae.
UAUGUGUGUUGUGUGUGGUGUGUGUGUGUGUGUGUGUAUUAUAUAUAUGUAUAUUAUAUAUAUAUAUAUAAAAUAAUAUAUACAUAUAUACAUAUAUACAUAUAUGUGUGUGUAUAGUAUGUAUGUAUGUAUGUUACACACACACACACACACACACACACACACACACACACAA